Molecule: non-coding RNA, 28 nt
Filed under: Mus musculus (house mouse)
Lineage: Eukaryota; Metazoa; Chordata; Mammalia; Rodentia; Muridae
Source: RNAcentral
UGCUAAGUUGCUGACAAGGAGCCAUCCC